Molecule: long non-coding RNA, 290 nt
Organism: Cervus elaphus (red deer)
Lineage: Eukaryota; Metazoa; Chordata; Mammalia; Artiodactyla; Cervidae
Exons: 3
Source: RefSeq, a predicted model, not a curated record
GGUUCCAUCAAUUCCUCAUCCUAGCUACCCGGCGCGGGGGGAGGGGGUCCGUAUCUAAGCUCGGGUUCCAGGUCCAGGAUCCGGGCUGCGUUCCCCAGGAGCUCGGGUGCGAGCUCGGUUUCUUGAACAGCCGUGAAGAGACCCCACGUCCAAGGUGGUUCCAGUGUACACACAAGGGUCUUUAAAGUGGAAGAAAGAGGCCAAAGACGUCAGAGUGAUCCAUCGAAAGGUCAUCUUCUGUUGGUGGAUUUCAACAUGGAAAAGGGUGGCUAUGGGCCAUGGAAUAUGGG